Molecule: ribosomal RNA, 492 nt
Filed under: uncultured bacterium
Lineage: Bacteria
Description: partial 16S ribosomal RNA
Rfam family: Bacterial small subunit ribosomal RNA
Source: RNAcentral
AGUGAACGCUGGCGGUAGGCCUAACACAUGCAAGUCGAACGGCAGCACAGUAAGAGCUUGCUCUUACGGGUGGCGAGUGGCGGACGGGUGAGGAAUACAUCGGAAUCUACUUUUUCGUGGGGGAUAACGUAGGGAAACUUACGCUAAUACCGCAUACGACCUACGGGUGAAAGCAGGGGAUCUUCGGACCUUGCGCGAUUGAAUGAGCCGAUGUCGGAUUAGCUAGUUGGCGGGGUAAAGGCCCACCAAGGCGACGAUCCGUAGCUGGUCUGAGAGGAUGAUCAGCCACAAUGGAACUGAGACACGGUCCAGACUCCUACGGGAGGCAGCAGUGGGGAAUAUGGGACAAUGGACGCAAGCCUGAUCCAGCCAUACCGCGUGAGUGAAGAAGGCCUUCGGGUUGUAAAGCCGUUUUGUUGGGAAAGAAAAGAAGCAGGUUAAUACCCCGCUGUUCUGACGGUACCCAAAGAAUAAGCACCGGCUAACUUCGUG